UGUAACGCAUGGCUGGCGUCCGGGGUGAUAUGGGGGGGUGAAGAGUUAGCCGGAUUUAUUGGGUUUAAAGGGUCCGUAGGCGGACUUAUAAGUCAGUGGUGAAAUCCUGUCGCUUAAGGAUAGAACUGGCAUUGAUACUGGAAGUCUUGAGUAUAAUUGAGGUAGCUGGAAUAAGUAGUGUAGCGGUGAAAUGCAUAGAUAUUACUUAGAACACCAAUUGCGAAGGCAGGUUACCAAGUUAUAACUGACGCUGAGGGACGAAAGCGUGGGGAGCGAACAGGAUUAGAUACCCCGGUAGUC
RNAcentral lists this ribosomal RNA (300 nucleotides) under uncultured Costertonia sp. RNAcentral describes it as "bacterial SSU rRNA". It matches the Rfam family "Bacterial small subunit ribosomal RNA", at positions 496 to 795 of the family's 1533-position model. Lineage: Bacteria; Pseudomonadati; Bacteroidota; Flavobacteriia; Flavobacteriales; Flavobacteriaceae. The record is from RNAcentral.